This 324-nucleotide ribosomal RNA is filed under the name uncultured bacterium. Its description in RNAcentral is "bacterial SSU rRNA". It matches the Rfam family "Bacterial small subunit ribosomal RNA", at positions 28 to 334 of the family's 1533-position model. The record is from RNAcentral.
GACGAACGCUGGCGGCGUGCUUAACACAUGCAAGUCGAACGGAGCUUCUUGGAUAGAGACUUCGGUCAAUUGAAUGGAAGCUUAGUGGCGGACUGGUGAGUAACGCGUGAGGAACCUGCCUUUCAGAGGGGGACAACAGUUGGAAACGACUGCUAAUACCGCAUGACACAUUUGGGUGGCAUCACCUGAAUGUCAAAGAUUAUAUCGCUGAAAGAUGGCCUCGCGUCUGAUUAGCUAGUUGGUAGGGUAACGGCCUACCAAGGCGACGAUCAGUAGCCGGACUGAGAGGUUGAUCGGCCACAUUGGGACUGAGAUACGGCCCAG